RNAcentral lists this long non-coding RNA (2959 nucleotides) under Phocoena sinus (vaquita). RNAcentral's name for it is "lncRNA (ENSPSNG00000003378.1)". Lineage: Eukaryota; Metazoa; Chordata; Mammalia; Artiodactyla; Phocoenidae. The record is from RNAcentral.
UAAGACAAGGGGAGAGAGGAUUGACCAAAGAUCGUGCGUGGAUCUGGAGGGAUCCUUGCAGACCUUCUGCACUUGGAGGCCACAGAUGCACAUGACUCCAAUCUACGCAGUUGUGUGAUUUUUUUUUAUCUCCGGGCAAAGGCUUGGAGAAGGCAAGCCCUGGGACUGAUCCCAGGUGGGGAGUAUGUAAGGCAGGUGACGGAUGAGCAUAGAAGAAGAGGGAGAAGUCUAGACGUAGCCAACCUCAGGGCCGGUUGACUGUUGGGACCAGCGAUGCUGUGGGGAGAGACAAACCACGAAGACUCUCAAGCUUCCAAGUGUUUACGUCACUUGUUGAAAGUACAGGAUGCGGCUGAAAGAUCUGUGUGUUAUAGGGUGCUGCCUCGGCAGGACCAGCCCCGGAUCAGCGGAGGCAGCCACAGCGCCGCAGUUCUCUAGCAACCGGGGCCCCUUUUGCCAUGGUGGUGUCCCUAGAAUCACGAUGACCUCUGCGUCAUUACAUUACCAUCUCUUCUCUUGAAAUGCGGCCACAAAGACCCCUCUUAGGCAGAAGGCGGCGUCUUAUCUGCUUCUCCGGAGCACCAUUUAGGAACAGGCAUCCCUGUACGGGAGAUUUAUUUCCUUACUAGCACUGUUUGUUUCCCCCCACCCCGUACUCGUCCUAAAGUUGCUAAAAUGUGGAAGUCAAUAAUGCAGGCACCGUCCUCAGGCUGAUAAUGAAGACGGAUGCUGCUAAUACUUCUUACGACUGUGCUGAAUACAGCUGUCAGAGCAGGAGGGAAUCCGAGAAGGUGGUGGGCAAUUAACCUGGUUAAAAUUAGGCCAAGGAACCCAAGGUUAAUGGCCCUGGGAAUGGGAACAUUAAUGACCACUGCUGGUCAAGCCCCUUUUUGUCUUACUCAUUAGAGAUGCCUUUUACAUUCUAUGAGAUCCUGGCCUUUGGCCCUGGGACCAAGGGUGAUGGAGAGCUGCCACUCCCCUGGAUGACGUGUUAUGCAUCCUGACAGCUUCCACCUAGCACUUGAUCCCCCAUCACAACAUCCCGCUACAGUGUGUAGCAGGUUCCAAACAUGCCCGCCAUCUGCUGAGCACCGCUGACGAGAGCUAAGACACACACAUGAUGCAUAUUCAUGAACCAAAACCACUCCGGGUUUUCAUCCAACAGACUGACAAAAGUGUGACAUCCCCUUGCUUUCACCUGUUUGGUGCUGGUGUUCCAUUUUCUACGCACUCCUGGGCGAGCUGGAAUAGAAUCUUUAACCACUCCGGAAUGGGUCCUCAGUCAUAUUUGAUGGUGACAGAGUUAUUAACAUGUGAAUCUUCACGGCCUUCCACCCUGAAGUGAUUGACAAAGAGUCCACUCUCUAUCUCUUUUUCCCCAUUUCCUUUUACCCUCUGAAAGAGAAGUCUACCUUUGCUGGAGCUAAUCUCCUGUGAUAAGCUUUUGUGAUGUAAAUUUGGGACACUGGGUAGACCGAGACAGAGCUGGAGUAGGGGCGAUGAGGCAUAAACUUGGGGGAGAGAAGAAAAAAGCCCAGACCCAGCAGAGGAGUGAAAACAGUCCAAUUCAGGAUGGGAGCGAUUUGCUGGGGGAAGCUGAGCCCGGGGCUGGAAAAGAAAGACAUUUCAAGGGAGCUGUGUGGUGUACAUGAGAGAGAAAGCACAAGCGGGGGAAGGUAGAUUUUAAGAAGUCUGGUUGCUGUUAUCAAUCAGUCACUUUGGGCAUUUUUAGAGAGAUACAAAUAAACACUGGCAUCAGUUUUAAUUCCGUCCAGUUGUUGGAGCACUUCCUUCCCAUGGAGGACACUGGGAUUAUCCGGAUUAUCCAGUGGUGUUUAAACUGGAGGUGGAAGGUCGAGGCUCAGACAAGGACAGUGACCUUGCUUCCCCCUCUUGACCUUAGAGUCAGAAACACGUUUUUAAGUGCUCCCUUGACUAACCGAUUUCAUCAAAGCAGAGCGCGUUAAAAAUUCCUGAGUACCAAGCCGCUCCCUGCUCUCCGCAGUAACACGUCUCCAGAAGGCUCUGUGGUCACCCAGCAGUUUCGUACAUUCUUAUUUAAGUCUUCUGUAAACUCUCAGGAGGAGAUAUUAUCUUCCCAUUUCAUAAAUGUGAAAACUGAGGUACAGGGCCCUAGAAUGACACAUUAGUCCGUGGUUAGGUUACAAGGUUCAUAAGAAGCAGCUCAACCUAGGGUUUACGUUUGAAUUUUUGUAAAAGGGAAGAUGAACAAAGAGGGAAAGAUAUUGAACGUGGAAACUGAGUUCUUAAAUAGAGGCAGGAUUUCAGUAAAAACCAUGAGGCUCCUGGGUUCCACGUGCCCGGCUCACCGGGGUGGUUCUCUUACAUGCGGUCACUUUGAGCUUUUUAUUGAGAGUGAGGGGGACAAACAGAGGAGCAGAGAUGCAGUGUUUCAUCCCACAUCUCAGCCUCAGAUGCCUGGUGGUCCUCCACUCAUGGGGCCCUUGCCUUUGGCUCCAACAAAAGGGCGGUGAGGGAAGCGGAGUCUGUCCUCUGCCCUUGGCAGUGAAGGGCUGGGUAGACGGGCAAGGCAGAGCUGUCCGCACUGUGCUUGACAGCCUUAGCAUUUCCUCCACAAACCUGCGAGAUAAUUCAAGCCAUUAAAUCAUCCCAAAUCACAUGCAGUGACUGUCAUUUUGCUGUGUGAACAUCUCACUGGCUGAGCACCUGCAUCUCAAUAGCCACGGUGCCCUAAUUUUCUUCCUCGGAGACAACAGAACCAGAGGUAAUGAGUCGGGGGAGGGGCCGAGUCCCAGGGACACACUCUCUGGGGGAGUCUCUUGGGCUUAAAUACAUCUAAAGCAGAUCCAAAAGAAAGUGGUGAUUACAGGCUAAUUUUCUGCCUGCGUUAUGUUGUGUCCCAUCAUCUACACCAACAGCAGUUGCUUUACGCCGGAAAUCUUUUGACUGAAUUCCUCUUAUUCGUAAAUUUUGUAUU